Molecule: long non-coding RNA, 1412 nt
Organism: Panicum hallii
Lineage: Eukaryota; Viridiplantae; Streptophyta; Magnoliopsida; Poales; Poaceae
Exons: 2
Source: RefSeq, a predicted model, not a curated record
AGGUAGUUGGUAUCUUCCCGAUAAAGCUGUUAUUGCUGAUAUUGAGCACAACAAGACUCUUUGUCACCUCCCAUGUGGUGGACGGAAAAUGCCCUGAAAACAAGUUACUCGAGAUAUUCAGUACCUUGAGAGGCCUUACAGGGGUUGCAGAUGACAUCUCUUUGAGGUCUCCACUGAGUUGGUUGAAGCUGACGUCAAGGACAGUGAUGCUGCUGGACAACACCAAUUCCAGCGGCAGGCCGCCAGACAGCAAAUUGUAGGAUAGAUUGAGGUGCAACAGGCCAGUGAGAUUGCCAAGGGAUGAUGAUAUUAAUCCCUGAAGGUUCCUCGAAGCCAAGAAGACAUCGGUGACCAUCCUAUCUGGACUGCAGGUGAUCCCUUCCCAUGUGCAGCAGUCUGUGCCAUUCUUCCAUGUCAAGGUGAGAUUUCCACCCUGUGAGAGCCCGCCAAGGAAUCGGAGUAGUGAGGUGCUCUCAUGCUCGGUGCAAGAAAUUGUGAGAGAGGGGAAGAGGAGCAGAACAAGAGCAAGGCCAAUGAAAGUUCUGCCGAAUCUGUUGCUGUAUUUCAUGUGUGAGAAGUGGAGUGCCCUCAUGGCUUCUUUCCAGAAAUCAGGAUGGAAGGAGAGGCACAAGUUGUCUCGUGAGAGGCUAUAGAGGCCAAACAGGGUCUGAUGUACAAAGAGCAUGAGGACAAGGAGGACAAGCUGCUGCCUCCGUUUUGUUUGAUCCUUCCAAAAUCAUAGUCACCAAAAGGAAAUCUGGGUCAAAGUUAGCUGCUACAGCGUUUUUUGAGUUCGCACCAUGAUGUUUCGUCUGAGCCUUUGUUGCUUCACCAUUAAUUCAGACAAAAUUUGAGCUAAGGAUGUGCCACCAUCCGGUGAUCAGGAAAAGACAUGGUUUGCGAGGCCUGAACUGGUGAGGAUCAUGGCAAGCAUCCAUUAAGAAAAGACGAGUCAAAUUCAAAGCAGCCAUUGAUGUCGCGAUCCACUUGGCUGCAGAGGGGCAAGUUGUGUGCAAGAUAAUGGAGGAAUUGUCGCUGACUGCUCUUUGCUUCUUGACCCGAGGCGUUUACUUUCUAGCCGUUGUCAUCGUACAGUAGCAGCCGCGGCUGAUGUAUACGUCUGCAAGUUGCAAUUUUCCUUUCUCCCUGCUCCAGUGGUUUACGGUGGACAUUGGACAGGACCUGUUGCUAGGGGGUCAAGGUGUAUAAACUACAGAGGAAUCAGCUGAUGUAGACUAGGCCAACAGCUCCGAGGAAAAAUAUUGCAUGGAUUUGUUUUUGGCGGCUAUUUUUUUGUUAUUGUGGAUGAUUUUUUUUUGGAAGUUGAUGGAAUAACUGGUACUGUACUUUUGUAUUUGUUCCUGUUACUGUAGCUAUCGUCUUUCGGUGCUAGUGGUUGAUAUUCUGAGAAA